This 184-nucleotide ribosomal RNA is filed under the name Escherichia coli. Its description in RNAcentral is "partial 16S ribosomal RNA". It matches the Rfam family "Bacterial small subunit ribosomal RNA", at positions 1 to 176 of the family's 1533-position model. The record is from RNAcentral. Lineage: Bacteria; Pseudomonadati; Pseudomonadota; Gammaproteobacteria; Enterobacterales; Enterobacteriaceae.
UUAAAUUGAAGAGUUUGAUCAUGGCUCAGAUUGAACGCUGGCGGCAGGCCUAACACAUGCAAGUCGAACGGUAACAGGAAGAAGCUUGCUUCUUUGCUGACGAGUGGCGGACGGGUGCGUAAUGUCUGGGACACUGCCUGAUGGAGGGGGAUAACUACUGGAAACGGUAGCUAAUAACGCAUAA